UGACGAUGCCAUAAAAUACUCAGA
This 24-nucleotide non-coding RNA is filed under the name Arabidopsis thaliana (thale cress). Lineage: Eukaryota; Viridiplantae; Streptophyta; Magnoliopsida; Brassicales; Brassicaceae. The record is from RNAcentral.